CUAUUUGGUGUGUCGAAAUGUCUGAAGGCAUCAAACUGGACCCUUUUGAGGCUAUGGUGGAGAGGACUCUGAACAAACUGUUAUCCAUCAUGGAUAACCCCACCCACCCUCUCCACCUGCAGCUGGAAGGACAGGGAGCUCCUUCUCCAACAGACUGCUCCAGCUCUGCUGUCACAAGGACAGAUUCAGGAGAACCUUCCGGCCCUCUGCAGUAACUCUGUACUAUAACUCCCCUCUGGCUGCAGACAACUCACUGCUCCAUAGCCUCUCUGUGAACUGGACUUAACAUGCACACUUACACUUAACAUUGUACACUUAUAUUAUAUUUCAUUUAAUAUUCCAUUUCAUAGCAAUAUUCACUAUCUGUAUAUUUCUUAUUUUUAUUUCAAAUGUUUUGCUAUGUUUCAUACUAUAUUGUAUUUGCGGUAAAAAAAAAAGUUUCCCAAUUUGGGAUAAAUAAAGUUCCUUCUCCACUCUGUAGUGUUUACACACAUUACACACAGGGAGGAUACAUACACAGAUGAUAUACAGUACAUGCACAAAUACAACCACACGCAUGCAGGAGAGGUGGCAGGGAAGGGAGGCUGCCAGGUGCCCGGCGCCAGCGAGCAGUUUCAAGUUUUGGAGCCUUGCUCAAAGGCACCUUGGGAGUGGCUCAGGAGGAGAAUUGGCACCUCUCCAGCUACCAGCUCACUCCAUUUUUGAUUUGGUCUAAUCGGGACGUGAGCCCUUACAGACUAAGCCACUGCCACACUCAAAGCUUACUGUAAAUUAUUGUGAGGACUGGACACAUUAUCACAGAGCAGAGCCAAAGCCCAUAGUUCUAUUUUAGGAUUGUGUACAUAUAUAUAUAGACGGUAUAUAUUUGUACAUGUCUUGUUUUUAUUUGUUCAGUGUAAGACAUAAAAAAUACAUAAAUAUAUAAUAAAUGACAGCUUCAUUUUUGAACUGGUGAUGUGAGAAAUGAAUAAAAUAUAAGAGAUGUGUGUUCAAUCAAGAUGUAGUAUUUAUGUUCACACAAUAUGCUUUAACAGGAUGUCAGGUCCUGCGUACUGUAUAUCUGAACAAUCUGAUCACAUUUGAAAUGUCUUGUUUUGUCUUUCCUUUUUCUUCCACAGAAAAUCUGAAGAAACCUUUAAGGAACUGAAGAGCUUUUUAUUGAUAUUCAGGUAAGACACUAUUUGGAGAAUAUUAAGGAACUAAAAUGUGUUUUCUCACAGCCCCAGAGAGUAUUGGAAAAAAAGGGAUGCGUUGGUCUGGUGCGUCAUCGAAUACCUUGGGGAACACCAAGAAGACUUUUUUCAAGACAGCCAGGAAGAGCAUGACAACCUCAUGGACCAAACAUUGAAGGCGCUUGUGAUCCAUGAUGCCAGGACAAGGAGGAGCCAGCAGAUCUGUCCAUUGUGACAAAGGGACACAACGUGUUGAAUGCAUGCGGAAAUGGAGCGAAGAUAUUUGCACUGUUGAUCAUUUGUUUUGCAUGUUCAUCUACGUCCUCAACCUUGAAUACCCCAAGAAGCUGAAAUACACGUUUAAGGCAUUCCAGAAACUUUGUUUAGAGCUUGAUGGAGCAAAGCUACUCAAAAAAGUCUAGAGCCUCAAAUGUGAGUACAUGGAAUGCAGACUGUUCACUUGUUUUAGCGCUGACUUACACACAUUAAAUGAUCACCUUUUUAUAAA
Eleginops maclovinus (Patagonian blennie) is the source of this 1680-nucleotide long non-coding RNA. RefSeq lists it as uncharacterized. The record is from RefSeq and is a predicted model, not a curated record. NCBI's taxonomy places the organism in Eukaryota, Metazoa, Chordata, Actinopteri, Perciformes, Eleginopidae. The transcript is spliced from 3 exons.